UUCUGUCAGUUCCACACCCCCACACUCCACACAAACUUAUUCAUACACACUCAAGUAUCCCAGGAAUUGCAUCACUGAAAUGCAUUCAAGAUCCCAUGGAUCAUCACGAGGCCCAUAAUGCCUCCCAUUUUCUCCUUUUUUUUGCUUCCCUCCAUCUGCACAGGAGAUUAUCUUGAACUCCAUUCACUUUCAGUCCUCUGCUUCUUUCUUCAUCUUCCUUUUUUCUUCCAUUUUCCUCGCUCUCAGGCUACACCUCAAGCCAUUGAUCACCAGGCGGGCCAGACCAGCCUCACUUGUUGAUCGACAGCUCUGAGAGCUGUGGCUAACCGGCGGGAGUAAUGGAUCGGUGCCGCUCGGUCUAAAUCUUCUCCAAACAGCGAAUCAGUACAGCCUACUGCUCAGUAUAAGCACCCAACAAUGAAGAGCAGGCAGGCGGCCAAUCAGCACGGGGCUGAGCAAUGAUGGGACAUGCUGCUUUAUGACCUUUCAGGCGGCCAUUUAUCUCAGGGUCAGAGACCUUGAAAAUUCAACUGUGAUUUGGCAGCGACGCGAGCAAAUCCAGCCCUCAAAUCUGCCCAGACUGGCAGGAGCUUACACACUAGCUCAGGAAGUGGAAAUUACACAGCAGGGUGAGAAAACAACUAAUUUGUUGUUUCAUGAGAAUGAGUGCAGACAAGAGACCGCCUCUGCUUACUGUCAUCUAGAACUGAGACAGUUUCCCUCGGGGCGAGAGAUGUUUUUUUCGGCUCGCAGUCUUCCUGGCAGAGGAGAAACACCGGUCGUAUUUCCAGCCCGUUUGACAGAAAAAACAUACAUUUUUUUAAAAGUCAAAUCUUACAUGUCACCAAAAUAUUAAAAGCUGCAACAUAACUUGUAGCUGAGGAGGAAGCAUUCAGGCUCCCUGCCCUGAAAUGUCAAUGGCUAC
Long non-coding RNA from Acanthopagrus latus (yellowfin seabream), 925 nucleotides. RefSeq lists it as uncharacterized. Lineage: Eukaryota; Metazoa; Chordata; Actinopteri; Spariformes; Sparidae. The record is from RefSeq and is a predicted model, not a curated record. The transcript has 5 exons.